This 224-nucleotide unclassified non-coding RNA is filed under the name plant metagenome. Its description in RNAcentral is "partial contains small subunit ribosomal RNA, internal transcribed spacer 1, and 5.8S ribosomal RNA". The record is from RNAcentral.
UCUCCGUUGGUGAACCAGCGGAGGGAUCAUUACCGAGUGUUACAGCUCCCAAACCCUUUGUGAACAUACCAGUCGUUGCUUCGGCGGGACCGCCCCGGCGCCUCUGCGCGCCGGACCCAGGCGCCCGCCGGGGGCCCGAAGCUCUUGCCUUUUCGCGCGGACUUUUCUGAGUGGCACGUGGGAAAAAUGAAUCAAAACUUUCAACAACGGAUCUCUUGGUUCUG